Neopsephotus bourkii (Bourke's parrot) is the source of this 531-nucleotide long non-coding RNA. RefSeq lists it as uncharacterized. The record is from RefSeq and is a predicted model, not a curated record. Lineage: Eukaryota; Metazoa; Chordata; Aves; Psittaciformes; Psittacidae. The transcript is spliced from 5 exons.
CUUAGCAAAAGUGAGACAGCAGCUGAUCAAACCCAUGUUUGUGCUGGGUUUCCUGCCUCAGUGCCUAUCUUUCAUCCUCAGUAGAACUGACAAUGCGGACAGCUCAUGUUUGUGGUACGCUGAAGGGUGCUGACCUGGCGUGCAGAGCAGGAUUUUCUUUGUAGAAACGCAUGGAGGACACUAUACAGCCUGACACCCAGUAGAUCAUGAUAUUGGUGAGCAGAUCAUCCAGGUUAAACUUCCUGAAUAGUAUCAGGCUUCGUAGCCUGUAUGUGAGCGUAGCCAGACUCCAUCAAGAUCUUGUAGACGACUUUCUUUAAGUAGGGAAACAUCCGCCUGACAUCUUCAUCCUGGAACCCAAAGAGCCCUGGAAGAUAGCGGCCCAGCAGGAUAGAGAGCAGGGCACACAGGAUCUUUGUUUCUAGACUGGGAAAAAAACGAGUGCCAGGAGUUACUGUUCUGCUAAUGGGGUUUAUCUCACUGUGAGACUAGGCUUAUGCUCAGUUUCUUCUCACAGAUCAUACCUUUUUU